Molecule: non-coding RNA, 161 nt
Filed under: unclassified sequences
Description: DUF2800 RNA
Rfam family: DUF2800 RNA
About the family: Actinobacteria, Firmicutes, Synergistetes (1 example).
Source: RNAcentral
CCUUGUAUCGGUACGUCCAUUGACUCGAAUGAUCCAGUGCUGAUGGCAGGAUAACUUAAUAAAAACAGCUACCUACUGGAUAUGGAAGAUGCAAUCCCAGAACGGAGGAAAUUCCUACAGGGCUGCAGUUAGAUUUCUAUUACCUUUUUUGAAGUGAUCAA